RNAcentral lists this small nucleolar RNA (94 nucleotides) under Exophiala mesophila. The record is from RNAcentral. Lineage: Eukaryota; Fungi; Ascomycota; Eurotiomycetes; Chaetothyriales; Herpotrichiellaceae.
UUUGCAUGAUGAUCAAGGUCAAAAAUAAACAGUUCUGCUUCUGAAUCACAAGUUGAAGAAGUCCUUUACCAAACAGCUUACCAAUGUCUGAUCG